This 448-nucleotide ribosomal RNA is filed under the name uncultured Streptococcus sp. RNAcentral's name for it is "bacterial SSU rRNA". It matches the Rfam family "Bacterial small subunit ribosomal RNA", at positions 933 to 1382 of the family's 1533-position model. The record is from RNAcentral. Lineage: Bacteria; Bacillati; Bacillota; Bacilli; Lactobacillales; Streptococcaceae.
UGGAGCAUGUGGUUUAAUUCGAAGCAACGCGAAGAACCUUACCAGGUCUUGACAUCCCGAUGCUAUUUCUAGAGAUAGAAAGUUACUUCGGUACAUCGGUGACAGGUGGUGCAUGGUUGUCGUCAGCUCGUGUCGUGAGAUGUUGGGUUAAGUCCCGCAACGAGCGCAACCCCUAUUGUUAGUUGCCAUCAUUAAGUUGGGCACUCUAAAGAGACUGCCGAUGACAAAUCGGAGGAAGGUGGGGAUGACGUCAAAUCAUCAUGCCCUUUAUGUCCUGGGCUACACACGUGCUACAAUGGUCGGUACAACGAGAAGCAAGUCAGCGAUGGCAAGCAAAUCUCUAAAAGCCGAUCCCAGUUCGGAUUGCAGGCUGCAACUCGCCUGCAUGAAGUCGGAGUUGCUAGUAAUCGCGGAUCAGAAUGCCGCGGUGAAUGCGUUCCCGGGUCCU